UGGACUAGGCUACAUGAGGUGUGAUACUAACCUUAUAGGACUAUGGGCUGGGCUACAUGAGGUGUGAUACUAACCUUAUAGGACUAUGGACUAGGCUACAUGAGGUGUGAUACUAACCUUAUAGGACUAUGGACUAGGCUACAUGAGGUGUGAUACUAACCUUAUAGGCCUAUGGGCUGGGCUACAUGAGGUGUGAUACUAACCUUAUUAAAACAUACAGGCCUAUGGGCUGGGCUACAUGAGGUGUGAUACUAACCUUAUAGGACUAUGGACUAGGCUACAUGAGGUGUGAUACUAACCUUAUAGGACUAUGGACUAGGCUACAUGAGGUGUGAUACUAACCUUAUAGGACUAUG
This is a long non-coding RNA of Oncorhynchus keta (chum salmon), 356 nucleotides long. RefSeq lists it as uncharacterized. NCBI's taxonomy places the organism in Eukaryota, Metazoa, Chordata, Actinopteri, Salmoniformes, Salmonidae. The transcript is spliced from 3 exons. The record is from RefSeq and is a predicted model, not a curated record.